This 68-nucleotide non-coding RNA is filed under the name unclassified sequences. RNAcentral describes it as "S15-Flavobacteria ribosomal protein leader". It matches the Rfam family "S15-Flavobacteria ribosomal protein leader". The record is from RNAcentral.
UAUAUUUGCCCUUCAAUUUUGAGAAACAAGAUUGUUAGCAUAAAAAUUAUUUAAAAAAUAUUGGAAUG